UACGUAGGGGGCAAGCGUUAUCCGGAUUUACUGGGUGUAAAGGGGGCGCAGACGGCGAUGCAAGCCAGGAGUGAAAGCCCGGGGCCCAACCCCGGGACUGCUCUUGGAACUGCGUGGUUGGAGUGCAGGAGGGGCAGGCGGAAUUCCUGGUGUAGCGGUGAAAUGCGUAGAUAUCAGGAGGAACACCGGUGGCGAAGGCGGCCUGCUGGACUGCAACUGACGUUGAGGCCCGAAAGCGUGGGGAGCAAACAGG
RNAcentral lists this ribosomal RNA (253 nucleotides) under uncultured bacterium. Its description in RNAcentral is "partial 16S ribosomal RNA". It matches the Rfam family "Bacterial small subunit ribosomal RNA", at positions 524 to 776 of the family's 1533-position model. The record is from RNAcentral.